Molecule: ribosomal RNA, 253 nt
Filed under: uncultured bacterium
Lineage: Bacteria
Description: partial 16S ribosomal RNA
Rfam family: Bacterial small subunit ribosomal RNA
Source: RNAcentral
UACGUAGGUGGCAAGCGUUACUCGGAAUCACUAGGCGUAAAGCGCAGGUAGGCGGUUUGAUAAGUCUCUUGUGAAAGCUCCCGGCUCAACUGGGAGAGGUCAAGGGAAACUGUCAGGCUAGAGUGUGGCAGAGGAAGCUAGAAUUCCCGGUGUAGCGGUGAAAUGCGUAGAUAUCGGGAGGAAUACCUAUGGCGAAAGCAGGCUUCUGGGCCGUCACUGACGCUGAUCUGCGAAAGCUAGGGGAGCAAACAGG